RNAcentral lists this non-coding RNA (23 nucleotides) under Arabidopsis thaliana (thale cress). The record is from RNAcentral. Lineage: Eukaryota; Viridiplantae; Streptophyta; Magnoliopsida; Brassicales; Brassicaceae.
UAGAUAAGGCCCGCCUAUUUAGG